Molecule: small nucleolar RNA, 144 nt
Filed under: Chlamydomonas reinhardtii
Lineage: Eukaryota; Viridiplantae; Chlorophyta; Chlorophyceae; Chlamydomonadales; Chlamydomonadaceae
Description: CrACA06b snoRNA
Source: RNAcentral
GCGCCCUUAAAGCACCUCACUGCGCAAUUUUGCAUCGCGGCUGAGGUUUUGCAGCGGCGCCACACGAUCAUGCAGGAUCCGGGCGAUUGUUGUGUGCAGCGGCUCCCCGUACCGCCGUGCCAUUGUUUACGACCUGCGACAUUC